Molecule: long non-coding RNA, 578 nt
Organism: Carassius gibelio (silver crucian carp)
Lineage: Eukaryota; Metazoa; Chordata; Actinopteri; Cypriniformes; Cyprinidae
Exons: 3
Source: RefSeq, a predicted model, not a curated record
GAUAGAUAGAUAGAUAGAUAGAUAGAUAGAUAGAUAGAUAGAUAGAUAGAUAGAUUAUUAUAAACAACUUUACACUUUUGGUAAUCAUGCCACAUGACAUUUUACAACCUGGGCCAGCCUUGCUUUGUCAUAAAAGUGCCAGAUUAUAAGAUAUUUGAGAGACUUGCUGACUUGUUAUGGCCAUGUACCAUAGUAUCCUAUCCUUUUUCAAAAGAACCACUAAACUAGAUGAAGACCUGCUUGGCUAGGCUGGGAAACCAGUUUAAACCAGCGAAUACCAUCUUAAAUUAGCUAAAAACCAGCAAACGAGGAUUUACACAAGCUCCAGUCUGGAUCCAGAACACCUGAGAAGAGAUGAUGCUGACCCUCAGAGGACCUCAGAUAAUGCUAACCUUGAAUCAACAAACAAAACUAACAAUUAUUGCUACAUGAGAGCUGAGUGGGCUGCAGGGUGGAGCUCAGGGAGCUGCAGGGGCUGAUGGGACUGCAGGCUGUGGACGUCUGUUUGGACUCUGGACUUUUGGGUGGGGAGAGCAGGACAGUUGGAGAGAGAGCAAGAUUGGCCUUAAAGAGAGAAG